GGUGGUUCUCGGGUGAUGCACCCCGGAACCAGAGAGGAGGGAGCCCGAUUCCAGGGUGCGUCACCCGAGAGCCACC
Myotis lucifugus (little brown bat) is the source of this 76-nucleotide non-coding RNA. The record is from Rfam. NCBI's taxonomy places the organism in Eukaryota, Metazoa, Chordata, Mammalia, Chiroptera, Vespertilionidae.